UACUCAGGAAAUUAGAGAAGAAAAUAUGUAACGGAGAGAGUAAUUUUGGGACGAACUCCUUGAAGAAACACUAAAAAUAGGAUUUAAUCAAUACUACGUGCUAAGAAUAGUAUCGGUUGUGAUCUCCACUGCAAUGAUAGCUCCGCAUUUGUACGAGGAUUUGGAAGCCGGAGGAUAACUGAAAGGCAAAUAUUUGUGUAUUGAUAGUGCCAGGGGGCAUUAGAUGGUGCCAUUUGUUCCCGCAAUGACGUCACUAGCACAAAGGUCAAUGAAAUCAACUUGUAGAAUGUACGUCAGAGGCUUUUGAAUUAUGUUACCAAGGGCAACGGAUUUACGUAGGCGGUUUUAGGGAUCGAUUUUCCAAAGGAUACGAUAGUGCUCAUUUCAAACAUGCAUUUCUACAGUUAAGAACUGAUUGCACUAAAAUCGGAUUACUUAAUGACAUGUAUUUAGCAAAUAAAUACUUACAAUUAAACAGAUUUAUUCCAGAAUGUAUGCAGCUGUUCCAAGAUAAGUACUAUACGGGCGAUCUCAAGACGGCAGAAACCAAGACGAAAUAUCGAGCAUUUAUCAUAAUAACAAUAAAAAGCCUACGCCGCACUAUUUUGUUCUGCUAUGAAAUGCAACACUAGGACAAAAACCAGCAGCAACAGUAACACAGUUUUAAAGUCCGCAAAACAUAAAUAUUUGUUCAAUUAUUUUAAAUACUUUUUACCAGUUUUAACUUCUUUUCAAUACUUUUUUUUAUAUUUUUCACUUCUUUUCAAUACUUUUGAAAAUCUUUUUUAUUUUAAACAUUUUAAUAUUUUUCACUUCUUUUGAAUAAGUUUUCUAUCUUUUGAAUAUCUUUCACUUAUUUUCAAUACAUUUUAAUAUUUUUCAAAUUUUAAUAACAUUUUUUCUCUUUUUUUUUUUGAAUGCUUUUCAUUUAUUUAUUUUUUAAAUAUUUUUCAGUUCUUUUCAAUA
Mya arenaria is the source of this 966-nucleotide long non-coding RNA. RefSeq lists it as uncharacterized. The transcript is spliced from 3 exons. NCBI's taxonomy places the organism in Eukaryota, Metazoa, Mollusca, Bivalvia, Myida, Myidae. The record is from RefSeq and is a predicted model, not a curated record.